GGGAUUGAGGAAAGAUGAACAAAAAAGGGAUUAAGGUUCUUGAGGAGAGAUGAAGUUACUAGAGACGUGAAUGAAGAAGGUUUUUUUUUAAUUUCCAGAAUUUAAUAACCUUACGUAAAUUGAUAAAUAUACUAAACAAUUAUUAAAUGUAUUUUUAAAUAAAAUAAUGGUUUAAUUUUUUAAAAAAAGUCAGACUUGUU
RNAcentral lists this long non-coding RNA (200 nucleotides) under Lathyrus oleraceus (garden pea). Its description in RNAcentral is "Pisum sativum (pea) long non-coding RNA (PSAT_LNC030508)". The record is from RNAcentral. Lineage: Eukaryota; Viridiplantae; Streptophyta; Magnoliopsida; Fabales; Fabaceae.